RNAcentral lists this ribosomal RNA (401 nucleotides) under uncultured bacterium. Its description in RNAcentral is "bacterial SSU rRNA". It matches the Rfam family "Bacterial small subunit ribosomal RNA", at positions 28 to 422 of the family's 1533-position model. The record is from RNAcentral.
GACGAACGCUGGCGGCGUGCUUAACACAUGCAAGUCGAACGAGAAAGGCUCUUCGGAGCUGAGUACAGUGGCGAACGGGUGAGUAACACGUGGGCAACCUGCCCCAAGGAGCGGGACAACCCGAGGAAACUCGGGCUAAUACCGCAUGAUUCGUGCAGUCAUAAGACCGCACGGCAAAUGGUAGCUUCGGCCUCCGCCUUGGGAUGGGCCCGCGGCGCAUUAGCUUGNGGUGUGGGUAACGGCCCACCAAGGCGACGAUGCGUAGCUGGUCUGAGAGGACGAUCAGCCACACUGGGACUGAGACACGGCCCAGACUCCUACGGGAGGCAGCAGUGGGGAAUCUUGCGCAAUGGGCGGAAGCCUGACGCAGCAACGCCGCGUGUGGGAAGACGGCCUGGUGU